GAAAUGCGAUAAGUAAUGUGAAUUGCAGAAUUCAGUGAAUCAUCGAAUCUUUGAACGCACCUUGCGCUCCUUGGUAUUCCUUGGAGCAUGCCUGUUUGAGUAUCAUGAAAUCUUCAAAGUCAAUCUUUUGUUAACUCAAUUGGUUUCUACUUUGGUAUUGGAGGUCUUUGCAGCUUCACACCUGCUCCUCUUUGUUCAUUAGCUGGAUCUCAGUGUUAUGCUUGGUUCCACUCGGCGUGAUAAGUUAUCUAUCGCUGAGGACACUGUAAAAGGUGGCCAAGGUAAAUGCAGAUGAGCCGCUUCUAAUAGUCCAUUGACUUGGACAAUACUUUUAUGAUCUGAUCUCAAAUCAGGUAGGACUACCCGCUGAACUUAAGC
RNAcentral lists this unclassified non-coding RNA (378 nucleotides) under plant metagenome. RNAcentral's name for it is "partial contains 5.8S ribosomal RNA, internal transcribed spacer 2, and large subunit ribosomal RNA". The stretch from base 1 to 105 matches the Rfam family "5.8S ribosomal RNA", at positions 50 to 154 of the family's 154-position model. The record is from RNAcentral.